RNAcentral lists this transfer RNA (73 nucleotides) under Rubrobacter radiotolerans. RNAcentral's name for it is "tRNA-Glu (TTC) (tRNA-Glu-TTC-1-1)". It matches the Rfam family "tRNA". Rfam says of the family: Transfer RNA (tRNA) molecules are approximately 80 nucleotides in length. Their secondary structure includes four short double-helical elements and three loops (D, anti-codon, and T loops). The record is from Rfam by way of RNAcentral. Lineage: Bacteria; Bacillati; Actinomycetota; Rubrobacteria; Rubrobacterales; Rubrobacteraceae. RNAcentral also lists the same sequence under 10 other names.
GCCCCCAUCGUCUAGAGGCCCAGGACACCGCCCUUUCAAGGCGGCGGCACGGGUUCGAAUCCCGUUGGGGGCA